This 253-nucleotide ribosomal RNA is filed under the name uncultured bacterium. RNAcentral's name for it is "partial 16S ribosomal RNA". It matches the Rfam family "Bacterial small subunit ribosomal RNA", at positions 524 to 776 of the family's 1533-position model. The record is from RNAcentral.
UACGUAGGUGGCAAGCGUUGUCCGGAAUCACUGGGCGUAAAGCGCGCGCAGGCGGCGAUCUACGUCUGGGGUGAAAGCCCGGAGCUCAACUCCGGGACUGCCUUGGAUACGGGAUCGCUUGAGGAUUGGAGAGGCAAGGGGAAUUCCACGUGUAGCGGUGAAAUGCGUAGAUAUGUGGAGGAACACCUGUGGCGAAGGCGCGUUGCUGGCAAAUUUCUGACGCUGAGGCGCGAAAGCGUGGGGAGCAAACAGG